AGGAAUAUUGGUCAAUGGGCGUAAGCCUGAACCAGCCAAGUAGCGUGAGGGAAGACUGCCCUAUGGGUUGUAAACCUCUUUUGUGCGGGGAUAAAGUGUGGGACGUGUCCCAUAUUGCAGGUACCGCACGAAUAAGGACCGGCUAAUUCCGUGCCAGCAGCCGCGGUAAUACGGAAGGUCCGGGCGUUAUCCGGAUUUAUUGGGUUUAAAGGGAGCGCAGGCCGUCCUUUAAGCGUGCUGUGAAAUGCCGCGGCUCAACCGUGGCACUGCAGCGCGAACUGGAGGACUUGAGUACGCACGAGGUAGGCGGAAUUCGUGGUGUAGCGGUGAAAUGCUUAGAUAUCACGAAGAACUCCGAUUGCGAAGGCAGCUUACCGGAGCGCAACUGACGCUGAGGCUCGAAAGCGCGGGUAUCGAACAGGAUUAGAUACCCUGGUAGUCCGCGCGGUAAACGAUGGAUGCCCGCCGUUGGGAUUUGGAUUUCAGCGGCCAAGCGAAAGCGUUAAGCAUCCCACCUGGGGAGUACGCCGGCAACGGUGAAACUCAAAGGAAUUGACGGGGGCCCGCACAAGCGGAGGAACAUGUGGUUUAAUUCGAUGAUACGCGAGGAACCUUACCCGGGCUUGAAUUGCAGGAGAACGAUCCAGAGAUGGUGAGGCCCUUCGGGGCUCCUGUGAAGGUGCUGCAUGGUUGUCGUCAGCUCGUGCCGUGAGGUGUCGGCUCAAGUGCCAUAACGAGCGCAACCCCUGUCCAUAGUUGCCAUCAGGUCGUGCUGGGCACUCUGUGGAGACUGCCGCCGUAAGGUGUGAGGAAGGUGGGGAUGACGUCAAAUCAGCACGGCCCUUACGUCCGGGGCUACACACGUGUUACAAUGGGGCAUACAGCGAGUUGGAUGUGCGCAAGUACGUCCGGAUCAAUAAAGUGCCUCUCAGUUCGGACUGGGGUCUGCAACCCGACCCCACGAAGCUGGAUUCGCUAGUAAUCGCGCAUCAGCCAUGGCGCGGUGAAUACGUUCCCG
Molecule: ribosomal RNA, 1018 nt
Filed under: uncultured bacterium
Lineage: Bacteria
Description: bacterial SSU rRNA
Rfam family: Bacterial small subunit ribosomal RNA
Source: RNAcentral